AGGAGACGCGGCUCAGAGCGGGUGGACUCCUCCUGCGGCGCUCUUGCCGGGGGAGCGGGGUCCGCGGAAGCUUGAGGAACGCGCCUGGAGCACUAGGCCGGGUUCGAGGCCUGCCCUUGGCUGGGGGAGGCGAGGCGGAGGGCAGGUCUCUUCCCUUCUCCCGGCCUCGGUUCACUCACUGAUGAAGUGGGACCCACGCUCCCGCUCCCACAGCUGCUGCGAGGAUGAGACUGGAUCCACGGUUCUCAACUCUUAGUCUCAAGACCCCUCUAUGCUCUAAAAAUGACUGAGGGCCUCAAAAAGCUUUUGCCAAUACAUAGCUGGGGUGGACCACGCCCACCCCAUCCCCAGUUUGGUACACCACUGGCCACAGGCAAAGGGACAAGUGCUUUGAAAGAAGGAUGGUGGGGUGACAGUGAGGGACAUGGAGGAGAGUGGGCCCAUCCGCAGGGGGUGGAAAAGAAGGCAUGUCUGGAGAAGAAAGACAUGAACAAGCUCAGUGGAGGAACAGCUUUGACACUCCAGGAAAAUCCAGGUGAAAAGGUGGCAGUGCCACGGCGUGACUGCGGAGCCCAAGCCCUCCCGGGUGAGGGCAUCCCAGGGCAUCAUCAUCAUCUUUGACUUAGACAACACAGCAAAGUACAAGCCAUCAAGGAAAAGAGCAACAACUUUGUCUACAUUCAAAAUUAAAAUCUCAAGGAACCCAGAGUAGUCAAAUUCAUAGAGAGAAAGUAGAAGGGUGGCUACGAGGGGCUGCGGAGAGGAGUAACAGGAAGUGAGUGUUUAAUGGGGACAAGGUUUCAGUUUGGGAAGAUGAAAAAGUUCUGGAGAUGGAGAGUGGUGAUGGCUGCACAACAGUGUGAAUGUACUUAAUGCCACUGAACUUAAAAAUGAUAGAAAUGGUAGAUUUUAUGUGUAUUUUACCACAAUGAAAAGAAAUUAAAAUCACUGCAAAACAAAAGUCAAACAACUGCAAUGCACAUAACUGACAAAAAAAAACAAGAAAGAAAGUUGGAAACAUCUAAAUUAUCCAUCAAAGCCAUACUAUGCAGCCAUUACAAAGAAUGAUCUCCAAGAUACACUAAGUGAAACAGUAAAUUGUAAGAUACUGUGUACAUUAUGAUACCACUGGUAUAAAACUACCCAACACAAACACACACACACAUAUAAUCUGCGAGAUAUUUCUAUGAGCACAGAAACCUCAGAGGAUACACGAGAAACCGUAACAGGUACAUACUGGGAGGAGAAUGGGCGGAGGCAAAACAAAACCCGGCUGCCCUCUGUGAACGCUUUUUCUGUUAAAGAUAUAGAAGACUUCUGGUUUCCAGUCUGGCGUUUAAAGAGCCUGCCAGUUUUGCUCUGUCCUAACAACAAGGGAACAGCUGAACAAACUGAAAACCAACAAAUCUUAGCUCUGUCAGAGAAGUGAGGUCACAGGGCAAACUACUGCCACAAAAACUGGUUGUUGACCGGCAGAAAAGAACCACAACCUGCGGGAGCAGAAACCUCCGGGAACCCGUGCUGGGAGGAAACUUGAACUGUAACUGGCUCACUGCUGGAGGCUCCGUGUGGACAACGCCAGAGAUAGAAAUGUGGGCCCAAGCUCUCCCGGGAUGCCAUCCAGGAGCGCCAGCAUGUUCCCACAGCAAAGACUGGAGGAAAUCCCCUGUGCUCCUGGCAGGAGGAGGGGAAAGGAACAUUCUGAGAGACCCAGAGCAUUCUGUUCUUCCUAAAAAGUUCUGUAGCUAAGAGAAGGGUCAGGAGACAUCGCGGCCUGCCUGGGGUUCACCGGGCUUGGAAGUGGCCCUCACCUGGGCCAGAGAGAGCCGCAGACCAGGCCAGAGAGGGACCCAGGCUCGAAGCAGUGAGGAUGCACCCCUGGUUUCAGAGAAUAUUCCUGGGGAGAAGGGAGAACAAAGGGUCCCGGGCUGGUGGUGCAUGAAUGGCGGGAACAGAACGAAGCU
Diceros bicornis minor is the source of this 1964-nucleotide long non-coding RNA. RefSeq lists it as uncharacterized. The record is from RefSeq and is a predicted model, not a curated record. Lineage: Eukaryota; Metazoa; Chordata; Mammalia; Perissodactyla; Rhinocerotidae. The transcript is spliced from 3 exons.